AUUGAACGCUGGCGGCAUGCCUUACACAUGCAAGUCGAACGGCAGCACGGAGCUUGCUCUGGUGGCGAGUGGCGAACGGGUGAGUAAUAUAUCGGAACGUACCCUAGAGUGGGGGAUAACGUAGCGAAAGUUACGCUAAUACCGCAUACGAUCUAAGGAUGAAAGUGGGGGAUCGCAAGACCUCAUGCUCGUGGAGCGGCCGAUAUCUGAUUAGCUAGUUGGUAGGGUAAAAGCCUACCAAGGCAUCGAUCAGUAGCUGGUCUGAGAGGACGACCAGCCACACUGGAACUGAGACACGGUCCAGACUCCUACGGGAGGCAGCAGUGGGGAAUUUUGGACAAUGGGCGAAAGCCUGAUCCAGCAAUGCCGCGUGAGUGAAGAAGGCCUUCGGGUUGUAAAGCUCUUUUGUCAGGGAAGAAACGGUGAGAGCUAAUAUCUCUUGCUAAUGACGGUACCUGAAGAAUAAGCACCGGCUAACUACGUGCCAGCAGCCGCGGUAAUACGUAGGAUGCAAGCGUUAAUCGGAAUUACUGGGCGUAAAGCGUGCGCAGGCGGUUUUGUAAGUCUGAUGUGAAAUCCCCGGGCUCAACCUGGGAAUUGCAUUGGAGACUGCAAGGCUAGAAUCUGGCAGAGGGGGGUAGAAUUCCACGUGUAGCAGUGAAAUGCGUAGAUAUGUGGAGGAACACCGAUGGCGAAGGCAGCCCCCUGGGUCAAGAUUGACGCUCAUGCACGAAAGCGUGGGGAGCAAACAGGAUUAGAUACCCUGGUAGUCCACGCCCUAAACGAUGUCUACUAGUUGUCGGGUCUUAAUUGACUUGGUAACGCAGCUAACGCGUGAAGUAGACCGCCUGGGGAGUACGGUCGCAAGAUUAAAACUCAAAGGAAUUGACGGGGACCCGCACAAGCGGUGGAUGAUGUGGAUUAAUUCGAUGCAACGCGAAAAACCUUACCUACCCUUGACAUGGCUGGAAUCCCCGAGAGAUUGGGGAGUGCUCGAAAGAGAACCAGUACACAGGUGCUGCAUGGCUGUCGUCAGCUCGUGUCGUGAGAUGUUGGGUUAAGUCCCGCAACGAGCGCAACCCUUGUCAUUAGUUGCUACGAAAGGGCACUCUAAUGAGACUGCCGGUGACAAACCGGAGGAAGGUGGGGAUGACGUCAAGUCCUCAUGGCCCUUAUGGGUAGGGCUUCACACGUCAUACAAUGGUACAUACAGAGCGCCGCCAACCCGCGAGGGGGAGCUAAUCGCAGAAAGUGUAUCGUAGUCCGGAUUGUAGUCUGCAACUCGACUGCAUGAAGUUGGAAUCGCUAGUAAUCGCGGAUCAGCAUGUCGCGGUGAAUACGUUCCCGGGUCU
Molecule: ribosomal RNA, 1352 nt
Filed under: uncultured bacterium
Lineage: Bacteria
Description: bacterial SSU rRNA
Rfam family: Bacterial small subunit ribosomal RNA
Source: RNAcentral